This 274-nucleotide ribosomal RNA is filed under the name uncultured bacterium. RNAcentral describes it as "partial 16S ribosomal RNA". It matches the Rfam family "Archaeal small subunit ribosomal RNA", at positions 473 to 747 of the family's 1478-position model. The record is from RNAcentral.
AAACCAGCACCUCAAGUGGUCAGGAUGAUUAUUGGGCCUAAAGCAUCCGUAGCCUGUUCUGUAAGUUUUCGGUUAAAUCUGUAUGCUCAACAUACAGGCUGCCGGGAAUACUGCAGGGCUAGGGAGUGGGAGAGGUAGACGGUACUCGGGAGGAAGUGGUAAAAUGCUUUGAUCUUUCGAUGACCACCUGUGGCGAAGGCGGUCUACCAGAACACGUCCGACGGUGAGGGAUGAAAGCUGGGGGAGCAAACCGGAUUAGAAACCCGGGUAGUCC